AGCAUAUCAAUAAGCGCAGGAAAAGAAACCAACAGGGAUUACCUCAGUAACGGCGAGUGAAGCGGUAAUAGCUCAAAUUUGAAAUCUGGCCUCUUGGGGUCCGAGUUGUAAUUUGUAGAGGAUGUUUUGGGUACCGCCCCGGUCUAAAUUUCUUGGAACAGAAUGUCAAAGAGGGUGAGAAUCCCGUCUUGGACCGGCGGUAGGGCCUGUGUAAAACUCCUUCGACGAGUCGAGUUGUUUGGGAAUGCAGCUCAAAAUGGGUGGUAAAUUUCAUCUAAAGCUAAAUAUUGGCCAGAGACCGAUAGCGCACAAGUAGAGUGAUCGAAAGAUGAAAAGCACUUUGAAAAGAGAGUUAAACAGUAUGUGAAAUUGUUGAAAGGGAAGCGCUUGCAACCAGACUUGAGCGCGGCGGUUCCCCCGGUCUUUUGGCCGGGCUACUCCGUCGUGUCCAGGCCAACAUCGGUUCUGAGGGUCGGUCAAAGGCCUUGGGAAUGUAUCUACCCACGGGUAGACUUAUAGACCAGGGUGUCAUGCGGCCUCUCGGGACCGAGGAACGCGCUUCGGCUCGGAUGUUGGCGUAAUGGUUGUCAGCGACCCGUCUUGAAACACGGACCAAGGAGUCUAACAUCUAUGCGAGUGUUUGGGUGUCAAACCCGGAACGCGAAAUGAAAGUGAACGGAGGUAGGAAGCUUCGGCUGCACUAUCGACCGAUCCUGAAGUUUACGGAUGGAUUUGAGUAAGAGCAUAGCUGUUGGGACCCGAAAGAUGGUGAACUAUGCCUGAAUAGGGUGAAGCCAGAGGAAACUCUGGUGGAGGCUCGCAGCGGUUCUGACGUGCAAAUCGAUCGUCAAAUUUGGGUAUAGGGGCGAAAGACUAAUCGAACCAUCUGGUAGCUGGUUCCUGCCGAAUUUCCCCCUCAGGAA
Molecule: ribosomal RNA, 923 nt
Filed under: Cladophialophora nyingchiensis
Lineage: Eukaryota; Fungi; Ascomycota; Eurotiomycetes; Chaetothyriales; Herpotrichiellaceae
Description: partial large subunit ribosomal RNA
Rfam family: Eukaryotic large subunit ribosomal RNA
Source: RNAcentral